Molecule: long non-coding RNA, 4470 nt
Filed under: Homo sapiens (human)
Lineage: Eukaryota; Metazoa; Chordata; Mammalia; Primates; Hominidae
Description: HSALNT0364480
Source: RNAcentral
AUAAUUCUAAGAAGAAGGUGAUAUUUCUCAUAGGAUUUAUCUCCUGGGCCAGUCCUCAUGGCUCCUUUCUGAGUUCCGUGGGGUGCGGGUUAUGAGGGAGUGUCAGGUAUUCAGAUACUCAGGAAGAGCUGUUUCAUGGAUGCUUUGCAAGGCACAGGGAUAUGGAAGCUUGCCAUGUGGCAGCACCAAGAGCUACAGAGGUCUGUAUGCCUGAGGUCACUCCUCUCUUAAUUGUCCUGAUGACCAACAAAAAGAGUCUAGCUCCAGGCACGCUGAGGUUGAGGGAGCUUUUGAAGUUGGAGUACAGGCAACAAAAGAUAUGGGAGGGCACCUAAAUCUCUCUGAUUAUUACCUUGGGCCUGGUAGGGGCCUUAACGUCUCCCAUGACCGAUGUUUUGUUAUAACGUUGAUGAGAAAAAAAAUCAAUUCCUGGUUGGCGCCACUGUCUGUGUGGAGUUUACAGGUUCCCACAUUCUCCCCAUGUCUGCCUGAAUUUUCUCUGAGUACUCCAGUUUCCUCCUACAUCCCAAAGCUGUGCACAUCAGGUUCACCUGGUGUGUCUGAAUCGUCUCAGUGUGAAUGAGUGUGAGUGUGUAUGUGAAUGUGCCCUGUGAUGGAAUGGCAUCCUGUCUGAGUUGGUUCCCGUCUUGCACCCUGAGCUGCUGGAUAGGCUCCAGUCACCUGCUACUCUGAACUGGAAAAAUUGGGUAAAUAAUUGUCUCACUUGUUCUAUCAAUCUUUCUUAAAUGUAUAUAUAAUUCACAUUUAUUUCAAUGUUUAAUAUUAGAAGUAUUUUGGUCUUUACUUAGAAGUCCAGUGAUGUUUUUGUGACCAAAACUAUGUCAUAGGAAUUAACUCUUCCUUUUAUCAAUUAGCUUAUGAUACAAUGGGUUUUGUUACAUGUUGUCUUUCUUAAAGUUACAGUUUCCAGGAGGCUGUGAAUGACAUGAAGUGAGACUUACUGUAUCUGAAGAGUCCCUGAAGGAGCUUCCUGCAAUUUUCCUUAUAAGGGUCUGUUAGCUGUAGUUACCAGGUGGUAUCAGCUCAGUCCUUUCUCUUUGGCCCCAGUUCCCUUCUGUCCCCCAUUGGCUGUUUGCAAAGCAGGAGGAAAAAGGCUUUCCACACUCAUAGCCCGUCUUGAGAAUGCCAAUGUCCACAUCUGGACUACUUCCUUUACACUCUCCCAAACCUCCUGAUCCUCCAGGUGCUGGAGUGUUUCUGGAGUUAAUUGUACCUGGGGCCUGAGGUAGUGAUAUGGGGGUGGGGAUGGAGCAUACUACUCUUUGUCACAAUGUGUCACUCAGGCCCAGCAACAGCUGUGCUUGAAUUCAGCUGCAUGAUGAAAUUUCUCUUGAACAGUUAAAUCAGCUGCUUUUCUGACUGCUCUCCACAUGAAGUUCAAAAACCCCCAAAGUGAGCCAGAGAAAAUUCCUUUUUGAGAGGGCUGCUAUGCUGAGCCUGUGAAUAAUUACUCCUUACUUAAUUUUUUUCUAGACUAUUUUAACAAUAGAACUACGGAUUUUUCUUUAUUGCUACAUGGCAUAAGAAUCGAAGGAAAAGGCUCUGUGAGAUUUCUUUCCCUAGAAAGGAGGUUUUUGGUCAAGCCAUUAUUAGGGUCUAAUGGCUGAGUUCAACACGUGCUUUUAAGCUGACCAGCAUUAUCCACCCUCGUUCAUAUAUUGAAAACACACAUACAUGCAUGUAAACACACACGCGCGCACACACACAAACACUAUCUGGCUCUGUCUUGUACAGAGGAAGAAUAGGCACAAUUCUAUCCCCUUCAUACUCUGCUUUCUUUCUCUCCCCUGCCAUCCCUGACUCAACCAUAAAUAUAAAGUUCCUUUCUCCUUCUCAGGUAUAAAAGAGUGGCUCUUUUUUGCAUGUGUCUAAAUAGAGACAAGUGGAAACUAGGGGAUUCUUCUGAUGUGUGAUGAAUAUGAACAUUUAUGUAUGCAUUCCAUGUGGGAACAAGACCUAGACACCGGUGGACAGCAGCAUGCAGCUUAAAAGCACGUGAUCCUUAAAUGAAGAUUUUGAAAAGAGUGGGGGAGGAAAGGCAGUGAAGAGGGAAGUCAAGACGGACUUAUUCCUGCUUGAUUUCAAGAUGAAAAGACUGUUCAUCCCUGAAAAUUCCACGGGGAAUCAGAGGGAGGGAGAGAAACAAGUCCUUGUUUGUACAGAACUGUUCACAAAUGUUAUAUCAUGGGGUCAGAUUCACAUACUGGGUAAACCUUGAAGAAAAAAUUCCCAAGGGAUUCCAUAGGAUGUGAAGCAGGCCAAAAACUUUGUUACUUGUCUUUUUGUCCCGUGAGACCUACACAUCAACAGUUUUAAAACAGAAAAGUAGGAUAGUUAGUACCUUUGAAGGGCCACUCCAGAUGUCUAGGUCCAACUAAAUUUGUCUACAAAUUUCUAUGGUUAUUUAUAGCUUCUUUUUUAUAGCUUUAGGAUCUUCAGUAAGGCUGAGACUUAAGGGAGCUGUUUCAGAUCCAGGAGAAAUCAUAGAAAUGUGUACGUGUUCCUACUAGUCUAAUCCUAUCCCCAAGGCCAAAUAGGGUGGUGCAGUAUGUGUGGCUUAUUUUUCAUAGCUCCAGGAAGGACAAGUGAAGAUUCAGGAUGAAACAGAACUAAGUCUGGCUAGGCUAGUGACAAACACUUAAAUUACCUAAGUCAUAGAUUAACCAGUAAAAAAUGAUUUCUGCUCCCAGCUCAUACCUACUGGGACCAGAUGAUAAUGAUGGUGAUGACGAUAAUAAUGAUGAUGAUGUCAAUAUUUUUUGAGUAUUUGCUAUGUACCAAAAGUCUUUUGCACUACUCAAAAGACCUGACAUACAUUGUUUUAUUAAAUUCUCACAAUAAUCCUAUAUGGUAGCCUUUGCUAUUCCUGUUGUAAAGAUGAAGAAACAGAGGUUCAGUAAAUUCAAUUAACUUGUUCAAGGUGGUACAGCUAGUAGAUAAGCCUGGAAUGUGAAUCCAAAAGGGUCUGACUUGACCAUUGUCCUACAGUGCCUCUCUAUUAGUAACUCAAAUCAGACAUCCUAGUUGAAGUGUAAAGUAAGGCUGGGGAUAGAACUCUCAAUAAAAUGGUGACUUUACUGAGGGUGACUCUCAAUAAAAUGAUGCAUUACAUAAGGGAAUAGCCAGCAUUUCUCCAUUUCAUGAAAGUUCCUUCUCACAGUGGAGCAAGGAUUCUCUUCUCUCUUCCAUCUUUUGCCUGUCAUCAAAACUGGCUGUCAAGUAAGAAUUUAAUAUACUCAUUCAAAGUAGGCAAACUGUAAUAAAAAUGGUGAACUGGCUCAUGACAAGAUUUGGAAUCUCCACAGGGAGCAAAAUCUUGAGUCCAACAAAUUAAUCCACAGCAGCAGAUUUUCAGAUUUGCAGAGUUAAGUGAGUAAAAGAGACAUGUUUUCAACUUGGAAUAUGGGGAGUAAGUGGGGAUGUGGCUUUUUUCCUUCUCGAAUCAACUCAGUAGGUGAACUCUUCAUGCAACUGAAAAGUGCAUUGUGAGUUGAAAACCUCUAAAAUAUAUCAGUAUACCCAUUCUGAGCUUCCUGCAGACUGACUUAAAAAAUUGCUCAACUUCUUUGCUAAGAAUGCAAAGAAUAAUUUGGAUAUGCCUGAGUACUGUCCUGCCCCACAACCUCUUCAAAACAGCCUUUGAAAUCUAUUAGCAUCAAAAAAUGCCCUUCGGGGUACUAGGCCUGUUUAUCUUGAAAAGUUCCUCUCAGACAUCCUGGCAGGGGAUGGGAAAAUGGUUCAGCCACUCACAGUUCUUAUGCCCUUCGAAUUCUAGUAUUUGUAUUUGUCUGAGUCGAUUCUCUUCUGGAUGUCUUCCCUAACUAGGCUUAAAGACCCUUUCUCACAAACCUGCUAUCUUUUUUUUUUUCCUUCUUCUAGUUUUUAUAAUGAUUUGUUUGGUUUUAGGUCAUCAGCCAGAGAAGGGAUAAAUGCCCUGUAAAUUAAAUAUGCAGAGAAAGCUUUCUUUCCUCAUCUCCUCAAUGUCAAGAAAAAUCUUCAAUCUUAAAAAAAAAAGAAAGAAAGAAAAGAAAAGAGUUGCUAUUUCUGUGGGAUCAAAGAAAAAUAAUUAUGAUUUCGUAAUGCCUUAAACAAAACUUUGGGUCCUAUGUAUUUGUUCAGAAAUUAAAACUCAAAGAUCAUUGAUUGCACAAUGCCACUGUUUUGUAAAUAGCUUUAAUCCACUUUACAAUUCUCCCAGUUCUAAAUUUGUGCUCCUAUCUUCCAAGGCCCAUCAUUUUCAUGAGUCACCAGUCGUGAGCAGUGCAAGUUUUUCUGAGAUCCAGCCAAACAACGCCUGGGCUCCUCAGUGUUUACACAGACAGCCCUGGCUAGUCUAGUAAUCAUUGUCUUGUUUCCUUAUAGGAAAAGCUAGAAACGUACAGGGUAAACAGGGCAGCAACUAAUAUAUACUGAGAAUCUACUAUGUGCUAAGCACACUGCUGUGCACUU